GAUGAACGCUGGCGGCGUGCCUAGUACAUGCAAGUCGAGCGAACGGACGAGAAGCUUGCCUCUCUGAUGUUAGCGGCGGACGGGUGAGUAACACGUGGAUAACCUACCUAUAAGACUGGGAUAACUUCGGGAAACCGUAGCUAAUACCGGAUAAUAUUUUGAACCGCAUGGUUCAAAAGUGAAAGACGGUCUUGCUGUCACUUAUAGAUGGAUCCGCGCUGCAUUAUCUAGUUGGUAAGGUAACGGCUUACCAAGGCAACGAUGCAUAGCCGACCUGAGAGGGUGAUCGGCCACACUGGAACUGAGACACGGUCCAGACUCCUACGGGAGGCAGCAGUAGGGAAUCUUCCGCAAUGGGCGAAAGCCUGACGGAGCAACGCCGCGUGAGUGAUGAAGGUCUUCGGAUCGUAAAACUCUGUUAUUAGGGAAGAACAUAUGUGUAAGUAACUGUGCACAUCUUGACGGUACCUAAUCAGAAAGCCACGGCUAACUACGUG
RNAcentral lists this ribosomal RNA (497 nucleotides) under uncultured bacterium. Its description in RNAcentral is "partial 16S ribosomal RNA". It matches the Rfam family "Bacterial small subunit ribosomal RNA", at positions 28 to 507 of the family's 1533-position model. The record is from RNAcentral.